This 580-nucleotide ribosomal RNA is filed under the name uncultured rumen bacterium. RNAcentral's name for it is "bacterial SSU rRNA". It matches the Rfam family "Bacterial small subunit ribosomal RNA", at positions 168 to 766 of the family's 1533-position model. The record is from RNAcentral.
ACCGCAUAAGCGCACAGUAUCGCAUGAUACAGUGUGAAAAGCCGAGACGGUAUAAGAUGGACCCGCGUCUGAUUAGCCAGUUGGCAGGGUAACGGCCUACCAAAGCAACGAUCAGUAGCCGGCCUGAGAGGGUGAACGGCCACAUUGGGACUGAGACACGGCCCAAACUCCUACGGGAGGCAGCAGUGGGGGAUAUUGCACAAUGGGGGAAACCCUGAUGCAGCGACGCCGCGUGAGUGAUGAAGUAUUUCGGUAUGUAAAACUCUAUCAGCAGGGAAGAAAAUGACGGUACCUGACUAAGAAGCUCCGGCUAAAUACGUGCCAGCAGCCGCGGUAAUACGUAUGGAGCAAGCGUUAUCCGGAUUUACUGGGUGUAAAGGGAGCGUAGACGGUGAGGCAAGUCUGAUGUGAAAGGUGUGGGCUCAACCCGCAAACUGCAUUGGAAACUGUCCCGCUUGAGUGUCGGAGAGGUAAGUGGAAUUCCUAGUGUAGCGGUGAAAUGCGUAGAUAUUAGGAGGAACACCAGCGGCGAAGGCGGCUUACUGGACGAUAACUGACGUUGAGGCUCGAAAGCGUGGGG